GGCCAUAUUUGACAUCCUCCUGCUCCAAACCUCCCCCUGCCCCGAAAUGUCUGCUCAUGAAAGCCACAUUACAAUGAGGGACUUCUGUUUCAGGCAGAAUGAUUCCCAUCAGCUUCAGAACCAAAACAGUCCUAACUGCUACAGUUAGUAAGGAUAGAGUUUGAACAAGAGGGAGUUUGAUGUUGCUGAAAGGUCAUUUAUGUCAUGCUAAUGUGCCCAUCUUCACUCAAAGGAUUUUUCUGAGUAGAAACAUGGCCUCAGCUGUUGGACUCUCUUUUGUUUGAGCAUGGAGGGAGGAACAGAG
Molecule: long non-coding RNA, 304 nt
Organism: Callorhinus ursinus (northern fur seal)
Lineage: Eukaryota; Metazoa; Chordata; Mammalia; Carnivora; Otariidae
Source: RefSeq, a predicted model, not a curated record